RNAcentral lists this transfer RNA (72 nucleotides) under Heterocephalus glaber (naked mole-rat). It matches the Rfam family "tRNA". From Rfam's summary of the family: Transfer RNA (tRNA) molecules are approximately 80 nucleotides in length. Their secondary structure includes four short double-helical elements and three loops (D, anti-codon, and T loops). Lineage: Eukaryota; Metazoa; Chordata; Mammalia; Rodentia; Bathyergidae. The record is from Rfam by way of RNAcentral.
GGGGAUGUAGCUCAGUGGUAGAGCACUUGCCUAGUGUGCAUGAGGCCCUGAAUUCAAUUUCCAGCACCUCAA